GUCUCUGGAGAACCUCAGAAAAUGAGUGCCGAAGGUGCAAUGCACAGUUUGCUGUGCAGAAUCUCUCAGGCAAAAGGACAGAGUCAGA
RNAcentral lists this non-coding RNA (88 nucleotides) under pig gut metagenome. RNAcentral's name for it is "Glycine riboswitch". It matches the Rfam family "Glycine riboswitch aptamer", at positions 7 to 90 of the family's 94-position model. Rfam says of the family: This family represents the bacterial glycine riboswitch. Glycine riboswitches usually consist of two metabolite-binding aptamers domains with similar structures in tandem. The record is from RNAcentral.